AAAAAAAUGCUACGCCUGCAGAUUCAUGCUCUGCCACCCAAUACAUUAGCAUGGGAUAAUGGAAUAGUACCCUGUCCUCCUAUUUUCAGUUGGUUUUGGCAGCGCGAGGACUAGGGUAAUGAUUAAUAGGGAUAGUUGGGGGCAUUAAUAUUUAAUUGUCAGCCGUGAAAUUCUUGGAUUGCUGAAAGAUUAACUACUGCGAAAACAUCUGCCAAGGAUGUUUUCAUUAACCAAGAACGAAAGUUAGGGGAUCGGGGACGAUCAGAUACCGUCGUAGUCUUAACCAUAAACGAUGCCGACCAGCGAUUAGGAGACGUUGAAUACAGGUCACCACCAUCGGCGCGAUCGAA
RNAcentral lists this ribosomal RNA (350 nucleotides) under Acanthamoeba polyphaga. RNAcentral's name for it is "SSU rRNA". It matches the Rfam family "Eukaryotic small subunit ribosomal RNA", at positions 760 to 1096 of the family's 1831-position model. The record is from RNAcentral. Lineage: Eukaryota; Discosea; Longamoebia; Acanthamoebidae.